CCUACGGGAGGCAGCAGUGGGGAAUAUUGGACAAUGGGCGGAAGCCUGAUCCAGCCAUGCCGCGUGUGUGAAGAAGGCCUUUUGGUUGUAAAGCACUUUAAGCGAGGAGGAGGCUACUAGUACUAAUACUACUGGAUAGUGGACGUUACUCGCAGAAUAAGCACCGGCUAACUCUGUGCCAGCAGCCGCGGUAAUACAGAGGGUGCGAGCGUUAAUCGGAUUUACUGGGCGUAAAGCGUGCGUAGGCGGCUUUUUAAGUCGGAUGUGAAAUCCCCGAGCUUAACUUGGGAAUUGCAUUCGAUACUGGGAAGCUAGAGUAUGGGAGAGGAUGGUAGAAUUCCAGGUGUAGCGGUGAAAUGCGUAGAGAUCUGGAGGAAUACCGAUGGCGAAGGCAGCCAUCUGGCCUAAUACUGACGCUGAGGUACGAAAGCAUGGGGAGCAAACAGGAUUAGAUACCCUGGUAGUCCAUGCCGUAAACGAUGUCUACUAGCCGUUGGGUCCUUUGAGUCUUUAGNGGCGCGNGCGUACGACGAGUAAGUAAGUACCGCCGUUGGGGAGGUACGGUUCGGCGAAGAACGUUAAACGUUACGAAGAGAGUUAGACGGCGUUGGAGACGUUGCCGACGGACGACGACGAGGGAGGUAGG
This 646-nucleotide ribosomal RNA is filed under the name uncultured bacterium. Its description in RNAcentral is "bacterial SSU rRNA". The stretch from base 1 to 549 matches the Rfam family "Bacterial small subunit ribosomal RNA", at positions 338 to 873 of the family's 1533-position model. The record is from RNAcentral.